GUCACCAUCUAUAAGAAACAGGCUCCCACCAGACACUGAGUCUGCUGGAGACUUGAUCUUGAAUUUCCCAACCUCCAGAACUGAGGCCACCAGACUUUCUCUGCUUGUAUCCUCCCAGGACCACGGAACUCAUCACAUCCCAAGGCAGUCUAUUCCAUCAUGGACGAGCUCAAAGUGUUUGAAAGUUCUGCUUUAUCAAGUGAGCCAAACUUCCUCCCUCGGGACCAUCCACUCCAGGUCCCAGUUAUUCUAUUGGAGGAGCGAGGGUAAAGCCAUCACCAGGACAACCUUGGUGACAGGCUGGACUGGCAGCCAGCUUUUGAGGAUGACUUCAGGGAACCCUAAAGUCAAAUGUAUUACUCCUCUGAUGCCUACAAUUCCACUAUAAUAGUCUGGUGGGCUUCUGUUAGGAAGGCUUAUACAUGGUGGAAAGAAUAAAGGCUUGGACUCAGCCUAGGUUCAAAUACUGCAUCUUGACCUGGACUGUAGGGAAGUCUUAUCAC
Molecule: non-coding RNA, 503 nt
Filed under: Pongo abelii (Sumatran orangutan)
Lineage: Eukaryota; Metazoa; Chordata; Mammalia; Primates; Hominidae
Source: RNAcentral